Molecule: ribosomal RNA, 744 nt
Filed under: uncultured marine bacterium
Lineage: Bacteria
Description: bacterial SSU rRNA
Rfam family: Bacterial small subunit ribosomal RNA
Source: RNAcentral
UGAUCCUGGCUCAGAACGAACGCUGGCGGCGUGCUUAACACAUGCAAGUCGAACGAGAAAUUACCUUCGGGUAAUGGACAGUGGCAGACGGGUGAGUAACGCGUGGCAACCUACCUUUCAGUAAGGGACAACAGUUGGAAACGACUGCUAAUACCUUAUACGUCCUCCGGGAGAAAGAUUUAUCGCUGAUAGAUGGGGCCGCGUUAGAUUAGCUUGUUGGUGAGGUAAUGGCUCACCAAGGCGACGAUCUAUAGCGGGUCUGAGAGGAUGAUCCGCCACACUGGGACUGAGACACGGCCCAGACUCCUACGGGAGGCAGCAGUGGGGAAUAUUGGACAAUGGGGGCAACCCUGAUCCAGCAACGCCGCGUGAAUGAUGAAGGCCUUAGGGUUGUAAAAUUCUUUCGCUAGGGAAGAUAAUGACUGUACCUAGUAAAGAAGCCCCGGCUAACUCCGUGCCAGCAGCCGCGGUAAUACGGAGGGGGCUAGCGUUGUUCGGAAUUACUGGGCGUAAAGCGUGCGUAGGCGGAUUAAUAAGUUAGAUGUGAAAUCCCAGGGCUCAACCCUGGAACUGCAUUUAAAACUGUUAGUCUUGAGUUCUGGAGAGGUAAGUGGAAUUCCUAGUGUAGAGGUGAAAUUCGUAGAUAUUAGGAGGAACACCGGAGGCGAAGGCGGCUUACUGGACAGAUACUGACGCUGAGGCACGAAAGUGUGGGGAGCAAACAGGAUUAGAUACCCUGGUAGU